Molecule: long non-coding RNA, 341 nt
Filed under: Sinocyclocheilus grahami
Lineage: Eukaryota; Metazoa; Chordata; Actinopteri; Cypriniformes; Cyprinidae
Description: lncRNA (ENSSGRG00000043730.1)
Source: RNAcentral
GCUCGGCCGAAGAAGCGAGACGAUUCGGUUCAGUCAGCAUGCUGUAAUAGCUAAUCAUGAUGGCCGACCGAGUCUCAUGAUAUGAGUCGCCAACAUGCGCAAGAGUCUGCUGCUGGGCUGCCAGGUGACUGGGAGCUUUUACAGCCAUGUGUGCCGAAGCAGGGCGAGACCAGAAGAACGUGACCUUCAGCGUGGACACGGCCAGCGAGAGCCCCUUCCUCAUCCUCCCGCUCACCUUCGACCACAUCAUCGACGAGCAGAGCCCGCUGCGCGGAUGGGCCGACAACGGUACGGAUGCUGUCAUCCUUCAUUCUGUUCACAGUCCUCAGUUUCUGAGAAAA